RNAcentral lists this ribosomal RNA (261 nucleotides) under uncultured archaeon. Its description in RNAcentral is "partial 16S ribosomal RNA". It matches the Rfam family "Archaeal small subunit ribosomal RNA", at positions 748 to 1009 of the family's 1478-position model. The record is from RNAcentral.
CAGCCGUAAACUAUGCGCGUUAGGUGUAUCGGUGACCACGAGUUACCGAGGUGCCGAAGGGAAACCGUGAAACGUGCCGCCUGGGAAGUACGGUCGCAAGGCUGAAACUUAAAGGAAUUGGCGGAGGAGGACCACAACAGGUGGAGCCUGCGGUUUAAUUGGACUCAACGCCGGGAAGCUCACCGGAUAGGACAGCGGAAUGAUUGCCGGGCUGAAGACUCUGCAUGACUAGCUGAGAGGAGGUGCAUGGCGUAGACGUCU